This 73-nucleotide transfer RNA is filed under the name Gymnothorax meleagris (turkey moray). RNAcentral's name for it is "tRNA-Asn". RNAcentral also lists the same sequence under 1 other name. Lineage: Eukaryota; Metazoa; Chordata; Actinopteri; Anguilliformes; Muraenidae. The record is from RNAcentral.
UAGAUGGAUGCCCGCUGGUUUGGGCGCCUAGCUGUUAACUAGGACGUUGAGGGAUCGAGGCCCUCCUAUCUAU